This 459-nucleotide ribosomal RNA is filed under the name uncultured bacterium. RNAcentral describes it as "partial 16S ribosomal RNA". It matches the Rfam family "Bacterial small subunit ribosomal RNA", at positions 338 to 795 of the family's 1533-position model. The record is from RNAcentral.
CCUACGGGUGGCAGCAGUGAGGAAUAUUGGUCAAUGGGCGCAAGCCUGAACCAGCCAAGUCGCGUGAGGUAAGACGGUCCUAUGGAUUGUAAACCUCUUUUGUCUGGGAGCAAAAGACGCCACGCGUGGCGUUCCGAGAGUACCCGAAGAACAAGCAGAGGCUAACACAGUGUCAGCAGCCGCGUUAAUACGGAGGAUGCGAGCGUUAGCCGGAUUUAUUGGGUUUAAAGGGUGCGCAGGCGGAAGAUCAAGUCAGCGGUAAAAUUGAGAGGCUCAACCUCUUCGAGCCGUUGAAACUGGUUGUCUUGAGUGAGUGAGAAGUAUGCGGAAUGCGUGGUGUAGCGGUGAAAUGCAUAGAUAGCACGAAGAACUCCGAUUGCGAAGGCAGCAUACCGGCGCUCAACUGACGCUCAGGCACGAAAGUGUGGGUAUCGAACAGGAUUAGAUACCCUAGUAGUC